GGCUUAGAAGCAGCCAUGCAUUCAAAGAGUGCGUAACAGCUCACUGGUCGAGUGGACAUGCGCCGACAAUACACGGGGCUAAGCUGGACACCGAAGCGGCGGGAUUUUAAUUCAUUAGAAUCGGUAGGGGAGCUUCCCAUGGGCGGAGAAGCCGGAGGGCGACCGACGGUGGAGCGCAUGGGAGUGAGAAUGCUGGCAUGAGUAGCGAGAGACGAGAGAGUAACUCGUCCGCCGUGAACCCGAGGUUUCCUGGGCAAGGCUAAUCCUCCCAGGGUCAGUCGGGGGCUAAGGCGAGGCCGGUAGGCGUAGCCGACGCGCAGCAGGCAGACAUUCCUGCACCGCGCACGCGGCGCUACGACCGACGGGGCGACGGAUGGGGGUGGCUCGGCGGGGUUCUGGACGUCCCCGUGAUGGAGCGCGGCCCGCGGACCAGGGAAAUCCGGUCCGCAUGAAGGGCGAGGCUCCGGACGAAGCGAUUGAGCGAAGCGAGUGAGCCCGAGGUCCCUAGAAAAACCCCUAGGCAGGCGCGUGCGCGCCCGUACCGCAAACCGACACAGGUGGGUGGGUAGAACAUACCGAGGCGAUCGGGUCAACCAUGGUCAAGGAACUCGGCACAAUGGCCCCGUAACUUCGGGAGAAGGGGUGCCCGCGCGUACGUGAACCGGCUCGCCCGGGGAGCGGAGGCGGGCCGCAGUGGAGAGGCCCAAGCGACUGUUUACCAAAAACACAGGACUCUGCAGAAGCCGCAAGGCGACGUAUAGGGUCUGACGCCUGCCCGGUGCCGGAAGGUCACGCGGAGGAGUUAGCCGAUUCGGCGAAGCCCCGAAGCCAAGCCCCGGUAAACGGCGGCCGUAACUAUAACGGUCCUAAGGUAGCGAAAUUCCUUGUCGGGUAAGUUCCGACCUGCACGAAAGGCGCAACGACUUGGGCGCUGUCUCGACCAUGGACCCGGUGAAAUUGCACUGGUCGUGAAGAUGCGACUUACCCGCGGAAGGACGGAAAGACCCCGUGAACCUUCACUGCAGCUUGGCAUUGGCCGCUGGUCCCGCGUGUAGAGGAUAGGCAGGAGGCAUCGAUCCGGAGGCGCCAGCCCCCGGGGAGCCGCCCUUGGAAUACUGCCCUCGCGCGACCGGCGUCCUAACCCGAGGCCGUCAACCGGCUCGGGGACCGUGCCAGGCGGGCAGUUUGACUGGGGCGGUCGCCUCCUAAAGGGUAACGGAGGCGCGCGAAGGUCCGCUCGGGACGGUCGGCAACCGUCCUUUUGAAUGCAAGAGUACAAGCGGGCUUGACUGCGAGGCCCACAAGCCGAGCAGGUGCGAAAGCAGGCUCUAGUGAUCCGGCGGCCCCGAGUGGGUGGGCCGUCGCUCAACGGAUAAAAGGUACUCCGGGGAUAACAGGCUGAUCUUGCCCAAGAGUCCACAUCGACGGCAAGGUUUGGCACCUCGAUGUCGGCUCAUCGCAUCCUGGGGCUGGAGCAGGUCCCAAGGGUACGGCUGUUCGCCGUUUAAAGCGGUACGCGAGCUGGGUUCAGAACGUCGUGAGACAGUUCGGUCCCUAUCCUCCGUGGGCGCAGGAGAAUCGAUGGAGGCUGCCCCCAGUACGAGAGGACCGGGGUGGACGCACCUCCGGUGAACCGGUUGUCGACCAACGGCACGGCCGGGUAGCCGCGUGCGGCGCGGAUAACCGCUGAAGGCAUCUAAGCGGGAAGCCGUUCCAGGGAUUAGUUCUCCUUCCGGUAAGGGCCCAGGUAGACUACCUGGUCGAUAGACGGCAGGUGCAAGGCUGGCGACAGCCUCAGCCGAGCCGCACUAAUCGCCCGAGCUCUUCCGGA
This 1831-nucleotide ribosomal RNA is filed under the name human gut metagenome. Its description in RNAcentral is "bacterial LSU rRNA". It matches the Rfam family "Bacterial large subunit ribosomal RNA", at positions 1103 to 2925 of the family's 2925-position model. The record is from RNAcentral.